Passer montanus (Eurasian tree sparrow) is the source of this 501-nucleotide long non-coding RNA. RefSeq lists it as uncharacterized. The transcript has 4 exons. The record is from RefSeq and is a predicted model, not a curated record. NCBI's taxonomy places the organism in Eukaryota, Metazoa, Chordata, Aves, Passeriformes, Passeridae.
AGCUGCAGGUGGCAGCAGAGCCGUAUGUUGGUGGUUCCCACCGGCAUCGUGCCUGUGGCACCGCCGGUGUAGCGGGACCGAGCCGUCUCCGUGCUCGCUUGCUGAGGCGCCUUCUCCUGAGGGCGGCUCGCAGCCCUCACACAGAAUGUUCCGAAAAGGCCAGGCAGCAGCGCCCUGCUCACAAAGCUCCCCUCCUCUGGGGUUUCUGCUGACAUUACCUGAAGUUCAGAAAUGAACAAAUUGUGGCUUCAGAUGUCGUCAUCAGAAGACAUUAAAGGCUAAAGGUCACUGGGUGUACAGGAAAUUUAAAGCAGCCACUUUAACCUCUGGAUCUUUAGUCUUCACUGAAGUCAGAAUAAUGGCACUUUAAAGGGUGCACAGACGGAUCUGCCCUCGCAGCGUGGUGUUGUGUCCUCGGUCACGCUGAAGGACCGGGAACAUAAACGGAAAGGACAAUUUCCACUGAGAUUCCCAUCAGGAUUCGGGCAUCGCGCGGUGCAG